This 465-nucleotide ribosomal RNA is filed under the name uncultured Klebsiella sp. RNAcentral's name for it is "bacterial SSU rRNA". It matches the Rfam family "Bacterial small subunit ribosomal RNA", at positions 338 to 795 of the family's 1533-position model. The record is from RNAcentral. Lineage: Bacteria; Pseudomonadati; Pseudomonadota; Gammaproteobacteria; Enterobacterales; Enterobacteriaceae.
CCUACGGGAGGCUGCAGUGGGGAAUAUUGCACAAUGGGCGCAAGCCUGAUGCAGCCAUGCCGCGUGUGUGAAGAAGGCCUUCGGGUUGUAAAGCACUUUCAGCGGGGAGGAAGGCGGUGAGGUUAAUAACCUCAUCGAUUGACGUUACCCGCAGAAGAAGCACCGGCUAACUCCGUGCCAGCAGCCGCGGUAAUACGGAGGGUGCAAGCGUUAAUCGGAAUUACUGGGCGUAAAGCGCACGCAGGCGGUCUGUCAAGUCGGAUGUGAAAUCCCCGGGCUCAAUCUGGGAACUGCAUUCGAAACUGGCAGGCUAGAGUCUUGUAGAGGGGGGUAGAAUUCCAGGUGUAGCGGUGAAAUGCGUAGAGAUCUGGAGGAAUACCGGUGGCGAAGGCGGCCCCCUGGACAAAGACUGACGCUCAGGUGCGAAAGCGUGGGGAGCAAACAGGAUUAGAUACCCGGGUAGUC